UGGGGUGUGGCCAAGCGGCAAGGCACGGGACUUUGGAUCCCGGAUCGUAGGUUCGAAUCCUACCGCCCCAGCCA
Molecule: transfer RNA, 74 nt
Filed under: Bacillota bacterium
Lineage: Bacteria; Bacillati; Bacillota
Also listed under: 1 other name
Description: Firmicutes bacterium (anaerobic digester metagenome) tRNA-Gln
Rfam family: tRNA
About the family: Transfer RNA (tRNA) molecules are approximately 80 nucleotides in length. Their secondary structure includes four short double-helical elements and three loops (D, anti-codon, and T loops).
Source: RNAcentral